RNAcentral lists this ribosomal RNA (574 nucleotides) under Rothia dentocariosa. RNAcentral's name for it is "bacterial SSU rRNA". It matches the Rfam family "Bacterial small subunit ribosomal RNA", at positions 374 to 958 of the family's 1533-position model. Lineage: Bacteria; Bacillati; Actinomycetota; Actinomycetes; Micrococcales; Micrococcaceae. The record is from RNAcentral.
GGCGCAAGCCUGAUGCAGCGACGCCGCGUGAGGGAUGACGGCCUUCGGGUUGUAAACCUCUGUUAGCAUCGAAGAAGCGAAAGUGACGGUAGGUGCAGAGAAAGCGCCGGCUAACUACGUGCCAGCAGCCGCGGUAAUACGUAGGGCGCGAGCGUUGUCCGGAAUUAUUGGGCGUAAAGAGCUUGUAGGCGGUUGGUCGCGUCUGCUGUGAAAGGCUGGGGCUUAACCCUGGUUUUGCAGUGGGUACGGGCUAACUAGAGUGCAGUAGGGGAGACUGGAAUUCCUGGUGUAGCGGUGGAAUGCGCAGAUAUCAGGAGGAACACCGAUGGCGAAGGCAGGUCUCUGGGCUGUAACUGACGCUGAGAAGCGAAAGCAUGGGGAGCGAACAGGAUUAGAUACCCUGGUAGUCCGUGCCGUAAACGUUGGGCACUAGGUGUGGGGGACAUUCCACGUUUUCCGCGCCGUAGCUAACGCAUUAAGUGCCCCGCCUGGGGAGUACGGCCGCAAGGCUAAAACUCAAAGAAAUUGACGGGGGCCCGCACAAGCGGCGGAGCAUGCGGAUUAAUUCGAUGCA